RNAcentral lists this ribosomal RNA (232 nucleotides) under uncultured bacterium. RNAcentral's name for it is "partial 16S ribosomal RNA". It matches the Rfam family "Bacterial small subunit ribosomal RNA", at positions 96 to 334 of the family's 1533-position model. The record is from RNAcentral.
CGGCGAACGGGUGAGUAACGCGUGGAUUAUCUGCCCUGAGGUGGGGGAUAACCCGGGGAAACUCGGGCUAAUACCGCAUAAUACCGAGAGGUCAAAGGGGGCCGCAAGGCUCUCGCCAUGGGAGGAGUCCGCGUUCGAUUAGCUAGUUGGUAGGGUAAUGGCCUACCAAGGCGACGAUCGAUAGCCGGCCUGAGAGGGUGAUCGGCAACACUGGAACUGAGACACGGUCCAG